RNAcentral lists this ribosomal RNA (443 nucleotides) under Weissella confusa. Its description in RNAcentral is "bacterial SSU rRNA". It matches the Rfam family "Bacterial small subunit ribosomal RNA", at positions 338 to 795 of the family's 1533-position model. The record is from RNAcentral. Lineage: Bacteria; Bacillati; Bacillota; Bacilli; Lactobacillales; Lactobacillaceae.
CCUACGGGAGGCAGCAGUGAGGAAUUUUCCACAAUGCCCGAAAGGGUGAUGGAGCAAUACCGCGUGAGGGAUGACUGUCCGUGGACAUUAAACCUCUUUUCUUAAGGAAGAAGCUCUGACGGUACUUAAGGAAUAAGCACCGGCUAACUCUGUGCCAGCAGCCGCGGUAAUACAGGGGGUGCAAGCGUUGUCCGGAAUGAUUGGGCGUAAAGCGUUCGUAGGUGGUUUUUAAAGUCUUCUGUCAAAUCCCAAAGCUCAACUUUGGACAGGCAGUAGAGUACUUAAAGACUAGAGAACGGUAGAAGUAGAGGGAAUUCCCCGUGGAGCGGUGAAAUGCAUAGAUACGGGGAGGAACACCAGAGGCGAAAGCGCUCUACUAGGCCGUGUCUGACACUGAGGGACGACAGCUAGAGGAGUGAAUAGGAUUAGAUACCCUUGUAGUC